Molecule: ribosomal RNA, 578 nt
Filed under: uncultured Enterobacteriaceae bacterium
Lineage: Bacteria; Pseudomonadati; Pseudomonadota; Gammaproteobacteria; Enterobacterales; Enterobacteriaceae
Description: bacterial SSU rRNA
Rfam family: Bacterial small subunit ribosomal RNA
Source: RNAcentral
ACGGGUGAGUAAUGUCUGGGGAUCUGCCCGAUGGAGGGGGAUAACUACUGGAAACGGUAGCUAAUACCGCAUAACGUCGCAAGACCAAAGUGGGGGACCUUCGGGCCUCACACCAUCGGAUGAACCCAGAUGGGAUUAGCUAGUAGGUGGGGUAACGGCUCACCUAGGCGACGAUCCCUAGCUGGUCUGAGAGGAUGACCAGCCACACUGGAACUGAGACACGGUCCAGACUCCUACGGGAGGCAGCAGUGGGGAAUAUUGCACAAUGGGCGCAAGCCUGAUGCAGCCAUGCCGCGUGUAUGAAGAAGGCCUUCGGGUUGUAAAGUACUUUCAGCGGGGAGGAAGGGAUGAGGGUUAAUAACCUUCGUCAUUGACGUUACCCGCAGAAGAAGCACCGGCUAACUCCGUGCCAGCAGCCGCGGUAAUACGGAGGGUGCAAGCGUUAAUCGGAAUUACUGGGCGUAAAGCGCACGCAGGCGGUUUGUUAAGUCAGAUGUGAAAUCCCCGGGCUCAACCUGGGAACUGCAUUUGAAACUGGCAAGCUUGAGUCUCGUAGAGGGGGGUAGAAUUCCAGGUGU